Molecule: transfer RNA, 73 nt
Filed under: Ailuropoda melanoleuca (giant panda)
Lineage: Eukaryota; Metazoa; Chordata; Mammalia; Carnivora; Ursidae
Rfam family: tRNA
About the family: Transfer RNA (tRNA) molecules are approximately 80 nucleotides in length.
Source: Rfam by way of RNAcentral
AUCUGGUUGGCUUAGUCAGUAGAGCAUGUAACUCUUGAUCUCAGGGUUGUGAGUUCAAGCCCCACACUGGGUG